RNAcentral lists this ribosomal RNA (494 nucleotides) under uncultured bacterium. RNAcentral's name for it is "partial 16S ribosomal RNA". It matches the Rfam family "Bacterial small subunit ribosomal RNA", at positions 28 to 507 of the family's 1533-position model. The record is from RNAcentral.
GACGAACGCUGGCGGCGUGCUUAACACAUGCAAGUCGAACGGUGAAGCGUCUUCCUUUUUGGUGGGUGUGGAUGAGUGGCGAACGGGUGAGUAACACGUGAGUAACCUGCCCCCUUCUUCUGGAUAACCGCAUGAAAGUGUGGCUAAUACGGGAUAUUCUGGGUCUGUCGCAUGAUGGGUCUGGGAAAGAUAUUGUUUCGGUGGGGGAUGGGCUCGCGGCCUAUCAGCUUGUUGGUGGGGUGAUGGCCUACCAAGGCGGUGACGGGUAGCCGGCCUGAGAGGGUGGACGGUCACACUGGGAAUGAGACACGGCCGAGACGCGUACGGGAGGCAGCAGUGGGGAAUAUUGGACAAUGGGCGCAAGCCUGAUGCAGCGACGCCGCGUGAGGGAUGGAGGCCUUCGGGUUGUGAACCUCUUUCGCCAGUGAAGCAGGCCUGCCUCGUUUGUGGGUGGGUUGACGGUAGCUGGAUAAGAAGCGCCGGCUAACUACGUG